This 765-nucleotide ribosomal RNA is filed under the name uncultured Streptococcus sp. RNAcentral's name for it is "bacterial SSU rRNA". It matches the Rfam family "Bacterial small subunit ribosomal RNA", at positions 28 to 776 of the family's 1533-position model. Lineage: Bacteria; Bacillati; Bacillota; Bacilli; Lactobacillales; Streptococcaceae. The record is from RNAcentral.
GAUGAACGCUGGCGGCGUGCCUAAUACAUGCAAGUAGAACGCUGAAGCUUGGUGCUUGCACCGGGCGGAUGAGUUGCGAACGGGUGAGUAACGCGUAGGUAACCUGCCUCUUAGCGGGGGAUAACUAUUGGAAACGAUAGCUAAUACCGCAUAAAAGUCGACAUUGCAUGAUGUUGAUUUGAAAGGUGCAAUUGCAUCACUAAGAGAUGGACCUGCGUUGUAUUAGCUAGUUGGUGAGGUAACGGCUCACCAAGGCGACGAUACAUAGCCGACCUGAGAGGGUGAUCGGCCACACUGGGACUGAGACACGGCCCAGACUCCUACGGGAGGCAGCAGUAGGGAAUCUUCGGCAAUGGGGGCAACCCUGACCGAGCAACGCCGCGUGAGUGAAGAAGGUUUUCGGAUCGUAAAGCUCUGUUGUAAGAGAAGAACGAGUGUGAGAGUGGAAAGUUCACACUGUGACGGUAACUUACCAGAAAGGGACGGCUAACUACGUGCCAGCAGCCGCGGUAAUACGUAGGUCCCGAGCGUUAUCCGGAUUUAUUGGGCGUAAAGCGAGCGCAGGCGGUUAGAUAAGUCUGAAGUUAAAGGCUGUGGCUUAACCAUAGUACGCUUUGGAAACUGUUUAACUUGAGUGCAAAAGGGGAGAGUGGAAUUCCAUGUGUAGCGGUGAAAUGCGUAGAUAUAUGGAGGAACACCGGUGGCGAAAGCGGCUCUCUGGUCUGUAACUGACGCUGAGGCUCGAAAGCGUGGGGAGCAAACAGG